This 409-nucleotide long non-coding RNA is filed under the name Homo sapiens (human). Its description in RNAcentral is "HSALNT0368215". The record is from RNAcentral. Lineage: Eukaryota; Metazoa; Chordata; Mammalia; Primates; Hominidae.
UCAUCACUUUAAUCCGCAGUUUUAGUGUUUUUUCUUUCUUUCUUUUUUUUUUUUUUUUUUUUUUUCAGAUGGAGUCUUGCUCUGUUACCCAGGCUGGAGUGCAGUGGCAGGAUCUCGGCUCACUGCAACCUCUGCCUCCCGGCUUCAAGCAAUUCUCCUGCCUCAGCCUCCUGAAUAGCUGGGAUUACAGGCACCUGCCACCACGCCCAGCUAAUUGUUGUAUUUUUAGUAGACACAGGGUUUCACCAUGUUGGCCAGUCUGGUCUUGAACUCCUGAUCUUGUGAUCCACCCGCCUCAGCCUCCCAAAGUGCUGGGAUUACAGGCGUGAGCCACCGCGCCCGGCCAGUGUUUUUUCUUUCUAAAGUACAUGAAGUAUGGUGGUUCAUGCCUGUAAUCCCAGCACUUUGG